GAAGGUCACGGCGAGACGAGCCGUUUAUCAUUACGAUAGGUGUCAAGUGGAAGUGCAGUGAUGUAUGCAGCUGAGGCAUCCUAACAGACCGGUAGACUUGAACCUUGUUCCUACAUGACCCGAUCAAUUCGAUCAGGCACUCGCCAUCUAUUUUCAUUGUUCAACUCUUUGACAACACGAAAAACCAUUGUUCAACUCUUUGACAACAUGAAAAAACCAAAGGCCUCUGCCCUGCCCUCCCUCUCUAUCUAUCCAAGGGAUGGAAGGGCAGGGCAG
Molecule: ribosomal RNA, 276 nt
Filed under: Ostryopsis davidiana
Lineage: Eukaryota; Viridiplantae; Streptophyta; Magnoliopsida; Fagales; Betulaceae
Description: 4.5S ribosomal RNA
Source: RNAcentral